UACAGAGGGUGCAAGCGUUAAUCGGAAUUACUGGGCGUAAAGCGCGCGUAGGUGGUUGUGUAAGUUGGAUGUGAAAGCCCCGGGCUUAACCUGGGAACUGCAUUCAAAACUGCACGGCUAGAGUACGGGAGAGGGGGGUAGAAUUCCAGGUGUAGCGGUGAAAUGCGUAGAGAUCUGGAGGAAUACCGAUGGCGAAGGCAGCCCCCCGGCCUGAUACUGACACUGAGGUGCGAAAGCAUGGGGAGCAAACAGG
RNAcentral lists this ribosomal RNA (253 nucleotides) under uncultured bacterium. RNAcentral's name for it is "partial 16S ribosomal RNA". It matches the Rfam family "Bacterial small subunit ribosomal RNA", at positions 524 to 776 of the family's 1533-position model. The record is from RNAcentral.